RNAcentral lists this long non-coding RNA (2111 nucleotides) under Equus caballus (horse). Its description in RNAcentral is "lncRNA (ENSECAG00000054878.1)". The record is from RNAcentral. Lineage: Eukaryota; Metazoa; Chordata; Mammalia; Perissodactyla; Equidae.
GAGGGGAGGAGUGGAUGACUCAAGGGCCAUUUAGGAGAUAAAUGGACAUGAUUGGGUGAUGGGUUUGGUGGGAAGGAUGAGGGCGAGGGAGUUGUUAGGAUGACACCUAGGUUUCUGGAUAGAACUGUUGCCAGGCAACAGAGUGAAAGCCAGGAGAGAGUGGGAAAGAGGUGGGACACACUUUCCCUUGCAGCUGUUAUUAUGCUUGUGUUUGCAAAAUAAGGGGUGCUGGGAGUGUGGGCAUGCAUAGCUCCCUGAUUGCCUGUCCAGGGGUGAGGAGGCUGAUUUGAAGACGUUGUACAUUGUGGGCUAAAAAGCUGGGCCUGAGAGCUAGGGCUUCCAGUCUUGGCUCUGCAUGCACAUAGCUGUUUGACCUUGAAGGGGCAGGUUCACCCCUCUGGGCCUCAGCUCUAAAACUGAUGGCCCUGCUGGUCUGGCAUUUUAAGAGCACAAAGCAACCUAAGUCUUAUUUGUGUCCACUAGCACUAUUUACAGGGCUCCCCCUUGGAAAGUUAUUCCUUGUAGAUCCACUUUAUCUGGAGCCUGAAGGUUAAAACAGCAUAAAGUCCUGAAUGUGAGAUCUGAAAGGAAUCACAGAGCCCAUUUGCCCAAUCUUCUAAUUUUACAGAGAGGGACAGCACCUGUGUUUGACCCUUAUUUCUAUCCUCCUGCACUAUUCUGCACAUAGGAGAAAAGAUGGAGCAGUUUGUGCAAAGCCACAAAGCUGUAAGGCAGAAGAGCACCCUUUGGGGCCCUAUGGAGACUCUGCAUGGCCCCCUCCAGCUCUUCUAGCCUGUAGCUCUGCUGCAGUGAAGUCCACAUUAAAUAUUAACAGGGCAGCUCCUGGCACAGCUGUGACGUCAAUUACUGGGCUGCAUGGUGAGGGCCGAGGCUGCCUUUCCAAGGUGAAGCAGUAACUGGAAUUCAACUGGCUCAAAUGGCGUCCCAGGGGACUGGCUGUUGGGACUCAGAGAAGAUGCUGCUAAUGUAAGGUGUGGCAAGGGUCCAAAAGCUUUCCUCUCAUCUCCCUGGUUCCCUCAGGGCCUGGGUGGCAUCGUGAUGAUGACACAAGGCAUUCAGUCAUUUGGCAAGUAUUUACUGAGCACAUGCUGUAUGCCAAGCACAGUGCUAGGCUCUGGGCAUACGGCCAUGAGCACGACAAGGUCCCUGCAUCAUGGGACUCCCCAUCUGGCAGAGGAGAGGGAGAAACAGUCUCAGCACAGAGGGGUAAACCCAGCACUCUGGGCCAGAGCAGGUGCUCGCCCCAGCCUGAGGCUGAGGGGUCCUUCCAGAGGAAGCUAGGGUUCUGCUGAAACCUGAAGAAGGAGCCCAAGUUAGGUAUGGAAAGAAGAGGGGUGAGUGUUUCAGGCAGAGGGAACAGGAUCAGAGUUCAGAUCCUGGUUCCACCCCUUCCUAGCCAUUUAUAUGCAAAUUGGGCUUCCACCUUACAGGGUCAAUAUGAGGACUAAAUGAAGCCAUGGCUAGAGAUAGCACAGGGCUUGAUGCAGAGUGAGAGCUCGGGGGUAGCUGUUAUGAAAACAGCUCUGUGCCCUUAUAUAAUUCCUUUGUCCUGCCAGGAAUUCCUCCCCGCAUGUUGCGAGCAGAGAAACUGAGGCUCACAGGGGCGACCUAACACACCCAGGGUUAUAUUGUUAUACAGGAUUAUAUUGGUUAUACAGGAUUAGACCUCAGGCUGGACACACGAUCCCAGGCUUUCACUUGGGCUUUUUGCCAUUCUUCAGCCACAGGCAACCCAAGUAGCCGUCUCAGCUCAGCGAGACACAAAAUGUCACCGGCGAUCCCAGUGUGAGUUGCUGGUCUCGGCUUCUUUGAGGUAAUGCCACAGCUGUCUGAGGAUAAGCCCAGGCCUAGGCAUAGACCUGAUUCUGCUGCUAACCUGCUGUGUGACUGUGGGUGAAUUACUUUCCCUCUCUGAGACUCAGUUCCCUGUAGUUAAUACUAAUACCAGCUGUCAUUGCCUGGGCCUCUGACCCUCCCAACAGAGCUGUGACAGAUGACUAUUUUUAAUGCCAUAUUAAAGAUGAGGAACCAGUCUAAGAGGGGCAAAGUGACAUGCACAAGGCCUAACAACAAGUGGGAGCUGGGUUUGG